GAGGACGGUUCCGGGGCUCUCCGGGUAGGAAACGGAGGUGUUGGUCUUUUCUGCUUUUGGUCCCGCAAGUGAGGAUGUGAGCCCCGUGUGAGGAAGGGGGAGCCCGUGGGGGGCCGUGCUGAUGAGGAGGCGCGGGAAGGCGGGAGAGGGUCCCAGAGGACCCUCCGGGGGCUCCCGAGCUGGAGGGACACUGAGGCUGGAGGUGCCAGCUCCCGGGUGGGGCGGCUCUGGGGGAGCCAGUUUGGUUUGGGCAUGGCAGGGUGAGGGAAGAUGGGCCCCCUGGAGGUUUCCCGGCUGGCUACCUCAGAGAAGGGGUCUGAAGUUCAGAAAGAUGUAAAGCCCUCGAAGGUGAAGUGACGGUCGCCCUUCUGAGAACACGAGGUCACUUGAGAGGAAGCCCCCGUGGCUGACAGAAUCGUGGACAGCUGGGCCAGUGCAGUGGAGAAGAGGAGGCAAGAGAGCCAAGGGGCUGACCAGGCCCGGUGGGAGCACCCUGGGGGGCGCUCCCGAAGGUGGGGUCUCCGGCCCCAGCACCGGGACACCUGUGCAGGCUUUGCCAGAUGUCCUCGCGGAAGCCAACUAGCGCUGGUUGGAACCAGUGUUGAGGCUGAGCAUGCACCCUGAGCCUCAGGAAGGGUCCCCUUCUUUCAAAGUGACUGGUCACUAGAACCUGAAAGCCCCCAAUCCCUUGGAUGAGUGGGGUCUCAAAAUGGAAGCCCCAUCACAGACCAGCAGAAAAGGAGAAAGGACCUAGAAGCACGGCCGGCGGUCUGAAGAGCCAACUAACAUGGAUGGGCAGAGAAAGCAGGUCACCUUUGCUAAGAGACAGACUUGCCCCAACACCGUGGUUCCCGCUCAGUUUCCUCUCAAUAGUUUCCUUCUGCAUGAAGAGCCGUGAUAAUGCGGAUAAAUGAAGCAAAAUCCAGGCAGCCUCAAAACGCUUCACUUUUCCCGCAAAACAUUCUCAGCGAAAUAGCUUGAACCUGCGCGAAACACAGACGCGUGCACGCGGACAGAGCCGCUUCCACAUCGGCCUGUCUGCGCUCUGGUGUCCGCAGAGCCUCCGGCCGGGUGUCCCGGGAGCCCGCCACGGCCUCGCUACUGUCAUUUUCUUGACUGGAAGUUCCUGGUGCUUCGGCCUCUUCUCCGUGGGAGAGCGUGCCUCACGCCCGGCUCCACCUGGCUUCCUCUGGCCUGUCCGCGCCCACCAGGGUCGAGUCACGUCCAGCUUUGAACGAAGGCCCGGCAGGUGGCUUCUCAGGACACUGGAUUCCACCCUGGGCUCCUUUAAGGCGGCCUGAUUAAUUCAUGAUGGCGCCCCAGGCGCCCGCCCAGGCCAGAGGAUUUACUGUACCUGUCCACGCGGCCGCGCCAGGAGAUGGCGGCACCUCCAGGCCAUCUGUCACAACAAGACUGCUGAGGGAGCGCCCACGAGCCCACACAGUGUGCUGCUGUCCAGCGAGGGAGCUGAGGGCAAGGUGCCCGUCCGCCCCCCGCUGCCCGUCCUGGCCUGAGGCCCCGCCCCGAGCAGCUUCUCACUCUGGGCAUGAAGAAUCGGGUGCCCAUCAGCCUGCUGCCCCCAGAACCAGCCUGUGGCCCGUCCAGAGGCCCAUGGUGCCCAAGGGCCGCAACAGGCAGGGCUUCUCCGUCCUGCAGCCCCCGAGUCAGGCCUCAGCUCACAGACAGCUCACAGAGCCCCUCCAUCCUGCCCGUGGCGCAGACCAAAGCGGCAGCAGGACCUCGGCGAGAAGCCUGUGGCUGCGACAACCCCGGUGUCCCCACCCUCUAGCCUCUGCGGCUGGCCCCUGGGCCUGCCCUCCCCCCUGGGGGUCUUUCUGGAGAGUGGCUUCCCACUGGGCCCCCCCCGGAGCCCCCCCCAUCCCUUUGGUGGGUGACGAAGCUGCAACCCACCCUCCUCGAGACUGUGACUUCCCAGGGUGAGGGCCAGCGCUCUCCGGCGGUUAUCACCUCUCGGGCCUGUCCCCACGGGCUACACUGUCGGCGCCUAAUAAACGUGUGUGG
Molecule: long non-coding RNA, 2022 nt
Organism: Talpa occidentalis (Iberian mole)
Lineage: Eukaryota; Metazoa; Chordata; Mammalia; Eulipotyphla; Talpidae
Exons: 6
Source: RefSeq, a predicted model, not a curated record